This 397-nucleotide long non-coding RNA is filed under the name Homo sapiens (human). RNAcentral's name for it is "HSALNT0365885". The record is from RNAcentral. Lineage: Eukaryota; Metazoa; Chordata; Mammalia; Primates; Hominidae.
ACCAGAACAGCAAUUCUCAACUCCCAGUAGUGGAUACUGGCCACAUAACCACUAGAUCUCUAUAUACAAUGGGUAAUUUCUGGCAGGUUAGCCAUAACAACAUCCCAUUCCUACUCAGGAAAGCACAUUGGAAUUCACGGAAAUCCAAGAAAAUUCCAGCACUGAAUCAAUACUCCACUGAGCUGACUAGGCAAUCCAUCUGAUCCCUCUAAAAGUCCUUUUGCCCUUCCUUCUGUUGAGUCUGAGAUAGCAGCAACUUCUGCUUCCUGGCACAGUGACCAAACCAUCUGCUGACCAGGGGAAGCAGCCUGGAUCAUGUUCACAUGUCGGAAUAUCUCCUAAGCAAUAAAUCAGAGGGUUCUCUGGACCCAGCAAAACGCAGAGUAGUAAGAAUUCU